AAGGAUAUAUUCGGAACAUCUUCUUUAGAAGAUGAAAAGGAAUAACAUUGACAUAUUGUAUUCAGUUUUGAAUGCUCAUUCGAGUAUUCUUUAAUGAUUUGUACAUUGAAAACUAGAUAAGUAAGUAAAAUUUAUGAUUUUACCAAGCAAAACCGAGUGAAUAAGAGUUUUAAAUAAGCUUGAAUUCAAAAAGAAAUAAUCGCUAGUGUUCGAAAGAACACUCACAGAUUAAUAACAUUUUGGGUUUUCAACCGACGGUUGUCGAGUUGAAAGCAAAUA
RNAcentral lists this unclassified non-coding RNA (279 nucleotides) under Staphylococcus cohnii subsp. cohnii. RNAcentral's name for it is "16S-23S ribosomal RNA intergenic spacer". The record is from RNAcentral. Lineage: Bacteria; Bacillati; Bacillota; Bacilli; Caryophanales; Staphylococcaceae.